UGUGUCGAUCUCACUGAGGUUUCUGAAAGUGUGCAGUCACUGUGCUGAGAUCAGCUGAUUACCCACAAUCCCCUGGGGUCUGCUCACACGAGGCGUGAGGUGUGUCUGCCGCUGCAUUGUUUUAUCAAUGAAAGAUCAGAGUCUCGCACACUCUCAACUACAGCCAGCGCCGGCCCCGUCCAGCUCCAGCCGAAACCAGCUUCCAGACUCUCCAGAGCACUAGAGACAUGAAUCAUCUCUGAGCAGACACACAUCAGUCUCAGCAUCGUCCAGGAGAUCAGGAGGAGUGUGUGUCUUCAUCAGAGAAACGUCUGAAAUAACAUCUGAUUAAAACAUGAGCGUAAUCCACAGCACUCCAUCGGUCAGCAUCUGGAGAAGACAGAAGAUCAAACUAAUCCAGCAUGGAGAGGUUUUUAACUCAAGUUCUGUAGAGUCCAUAAUCCAUAAGAUCUCUUCUUCCAGUGAAAGUGUUCAGGUCUGAAUCAGGAGAGAAAUCAAGCUCUAAACAAACAUAAGGCUGAAUGAUGGCAGGAAAUGCAGAGGAGAUUUAUUAUGGCUUAUAGACAUGAGGGCAGUAACACCGUCCUGGUCUUCUGAUGAUUCCUGACACAAAGUCUUUGAGUCUGAGUACUUCCACGAGUGUGAAGUAUGAACACUUUUCCCCUGAUCUUGAGGUUCUGUUCAGGAGUGUGUUUGGUUCAUGCAGUGGAUAGACGUGUAAUGAGCAG
Long non-coding RNA from Puntigrus tetrazona (Sumatra barb), 728 nucleotides. RefSeq lists it as uncharacterized. The transcript has 3 exons. NCBI's taxonomy places the organism in Eukaryota, Metazoa, Chordata, Actinopteri, Cypriniformes, Cyprinidae. The record is from RefSeq and is a predicted model, not a curated record.